UAACAUAUAGAAGAAGAUCCCAAGGAUCUCAAAGUCCCUCAGAUGUCACCCUCUUGGUGGCACUGAAAAGAUGCAUUGCACAUCUUCCUGGGCACCUUUCAGAAAUAAUAGUUUUGAGACUAGGUCCACGUGAUAUGGAGAGCAUUCAGUGUGUGAUGGUGAGACUGUGCGCAUUCUUCCGUCUCCUGCUGUUACAGACAGUUAAUGUAAAAAUGGCCUUUUAUUGGAAACACAAAUAUGUAUUCACUUCAAGAAUAGGAGCAGAGGGGGGACAAAGUGUCUCUCCCGUUCUCUGUUUAUUGUGUGAAAACUAAAACAAACAAACAAAAGCGGCAAGUGCUGUAAUUUCUCAAGUCAAGCCAUCCUUGUUGUGGGCAGGUUGUGCACUUUCUUUCUUCAAGGAGCUGAAGUAUGCUUUGCACACCUUUCUCCCAGGGAGUGGCAUUUAACUGUGGGGCUGUCCAGGGGCUAGAAAAUGCAGCUGGAUGUGGAACUGCCAGGCUGGGCCAGGGCAGGCACCUUCAGUUCAGGGAGAGGCGAAUUGGGCACAUUAAUGGCACAUUUUAGAGUCCUGGAAAAUCAUUAGCUUUACACUGUAGCUUCUGUCUUUGGCCAACAUGGGGGAGCUAAAUUGUGGCACAUAACAAAUAUGGAAUGCAGAUUUUAGAUUUUCAUGCUGUCUUCCUGGUGGUGUUGAAUAAAGGACGUGGGGCAAAUGGCUUUUCAUAGCUGCCACAGAGUCAGAAAGUUUGGCUUUCCUGUGGGGGAAGAUGUAAGAUUGAAGGGCGAAGGAGAGCCCAUGGAAGAUGUCACUGGGCACUUAUCUGAUCUAUCUUGGUUGCAUCCUUUAUGACACAAGGAAAUUAUUUGACAAAAUUCACUUCAAGACCCAGUCUAUCUUAUACACAGUAGUACUAGCCUCUUUCAGUAAAAAGCACUUAGCAUCAAACUGGACCGAGUUUGGCACAUUGCCACAAUUUAUCGUGAGAUUUAAUCACCAAGAAUCUUUGGUACCUUUUUGCUAGUUCAGAUUUCAUUUGGGUCAUGACUAUGUCAGCACUGUUUCUAUUUCAAAGAAAAAAAUACGUUUUUUACAGUAGGGCCCAUUUUUAAUAUUUCAAACAGGUUUUUAUUUUAUGUGUUAAUUUGGAGGAUGUUAAUAAAGUUCAUAAAAUAUGUGCAGACUAUAUAAUUUAAUGGAAAAUAGCUGGUAUUUUUUAUUUGUAAUACAAAUAGAGAACUGACCACUGUGCCCUCCUCUCUGUCCCUGGAGUGGCCCAGGUAAAUCAGUGCCCUUAAGCUGCUUUUCCCUUUCGCUGCCAAGUCUGCAGACCCGGCCAAUAUCUGUAAAUUUACCUUUGUAAUUUGCCAUGUAGUUUUUGCAACAAUGACCUAAUUAAUUUGAGCACGAACCAUAUUAUUGCUACUGGACUCAUUUUCUGUCACAAACUUAAUUUCCAGGAAAUGCAACCUGACGAAUAAGAAUUCUUUAGCUCUCCACAUGUGUUCUCUGAGACCAAAGGCAAAUUUAAAAUAAUAAUAAUAAAUACUAAAAUGCCAGCAUUAUUAAAGGCAAUAUGCUUGAUGCCAAACUCAAUUUGAAGCUAGUAAACAUCAAACUGUAUUUCUAAUCAGUUUUCGAAUGUAACGUAUUCCAUAUUGAGUUUGCUGGAUUCUGUCUCUGCAUUUUACUGGCCAGCUGCACUCCCCUCUGCAUUUUUAAAACAUUUCAGCAAAGGAUUUUGCUGUUCUUAGCAGGGUUAGUAACUUGGGGUCUAUUUCUGAGCUCAUUCGUCAUUCUGAGAUGGCAUUGAGUUAGGCUGGCAAGGGAAGGAUUUGAGGCAUGGGGGGGAGGGGGGUGGCGAGGUCACUUCUGAUCCCAGCAGGGAAUAGGUGAGCUUCAUUUGCCUUUACAAUAGGCGCACAGUUACUGCACCUUGGAGGGGCUCUCAGGUGCCGCUCAGAUGGGCGCAUGUAAAUGCCCUGUCAGAUGUGGCGUUGGAAUAUUAAUGCUUCCUCCACCGCUGCACCAUAAUAAAGCUGUACACAGCGAGCUUAAUAUGCAGCUAGGCUAGGGAAUUGUAUAAACUUAGAUAGCCCAGUGUAAGAGACAGCGAUGGAAGAAUGCGCGGUAUGCUACAGUUCCCAGCUUGUUCUGCUUUGAUCUAUAGCAAAAUGAAAACAUCAUCUAUUCCUCCUCGCAGAGUUGUCUCCUCAACUCUGCCGCCUCCCAGUCCACCUCCAGUUAGGAUUUUCUUUCCUUUUCCUUUUCCUUUUCCUUUUCCUUUUCCUUUUCCUUUUCCUUUUCCUUUUCCUUUUCCUUUUCCUUUCCCUUUUUCUUUUUCUUCUCUCUCUCUCUCUCUCUCUCUCUCUCUCUCUCUCUCUCUCUCUCUCUCUCUCUUUCUCUCUCUCUUUCUGCUGGUAUGGAGAAACUCAACAUAAUUUGUUUCAUAUGGUUAAUUACAGGCAUUUGAAUAUUUAAAAUUUAAAAUAGCCAUGGCUCCAGCUUUUUCUGUUAAAAAGUAUGUGAUUUGAACAAAGGGAUUAGAGUGUAAAUAUUUGUGGUGAUUUGCAACACCCUUCUUCUCCCAUUAAACACACACGCACACAUCCACACUGCUGAUUUAAGGACUCCCAUACCUUUAUUUAUACUUCUUUUUAAAAACCUACUCUCAAUUGGAGCGCCAUUAAAAUACUUUUCCAUUAUAUUUUUGAGUCUGUUAUUGCUUGAGGUUUUAUAGAGAAUUUUUAUCAUGUGUUCAUUUAACAGAAUCAACAGCUGUCAGAACCAGUUGUGCUAAAUCC
This 2805-nucleotide long non-coding RNA is filed under the name Mus musculus (house mouse). RNAcentral's name for it is "long non-coding RNA chr11:24089834-24092639". The record is from RNAcentral. Lineage: Eukaryota; Metazoa; Chordata; Mammalia; Rodentia; Muridae.